Molecule: non-coding RNA, 195 nt
Organism: Glossina palpalis gambiensis
Lineage: Eukaryota; Metazoa; Arthropoda; Insecta; Diptera; Glossinidae
Source: Rfam
ACUGAGGUUCCACUAUAGUGCGCAAAUAUGCAACAAGCCUCCGCGAAAUAAUAUCUAAUGACGAUCUCGCGGAGGACGCUGGCAGAAGAAGUGCGUGGGGGGUAGUUUUAGCACGUAGGCGCCAUGGAUGGCGAAUCGUGCAUGCUGCUGGCAAGAACCAGCAGUGUCUUUCGAAGAUUUUUACCUCUAGCUCGC